This 1522-nucleotide ribosomal RNA is filed under the name uncultured bacterium. RNAcentral describes it as "partial 16S ribosomal RNA". It matches the Rfam family "Bacterial small subunit ribosomal RNA". The record is from RNAcentral.
AGAGUUUGAUCCUGGCUCAGAACGAACGCUGGCGGCGUGGCUAACCCAUGCAAGUCGCGCGCGAACGUAUCCUUCGGGGUGCUAUUAGCGCGGCGGAAGGGUGAGUAACACAUGGGUAACGUACCCCGGGCACGAAGAUAGUUCGCCGAAAGGCGGAGUAAUACUCGAUAAGACCACGUGGAGGCAUCUUCACGCGGCCAAAGGUAGGGACCCCUUCGGGGGCCUGCCGGCCCGGGAUCGGCCCAUGUCCCAUCAGCUUGUUGGUAGGGUAACGGCCUACCAAGGCUGCGACGGGUAGCCGGACUGAGAGGUCGACCGGCCACAUUGGGACUGAGACACUGCCCAGACUCCUACGGGAGGCUGCAGGGACGAAUAUUGGGCAAUGGGCGCAAGCCUGACCCAGCGACGCCGCGUGUGGGAAGAAGCCUUUCGGGGUGUAAACCACCGUCAGGGGUUACCAAGCAAUUUCGCUUAAUAGGCGGAUGCGUUGAGGAGCCCCAGAGGAAGCCACGGCUAACUCCGUGCCAGCAGCCGCGGUAAGACGGAGGUGGCAAGCGUUGUUCGGAUUCACUGGGCUUAAAGAGCACGUAGGCGGCUGAUCAAGCGCUUUGUGAAAUCCCUCGGCUCAACCGAAGAAUUGCGUGGCGAACUGGUCGACUUGAAGGCAGGUAAGGGCCGUGUGGAACUCUUGGUGGGAGCGGUGAAANNNNNNNNNNNNNNNNNNNNNNNNNNNNNNNNNGCGACCACGCUGGGCCUGACCUUGACGCUGAGGUGCGAAAGCUAGGGUAGCGNACGGGAUUAGAUACCCCGGUAGUCCUAGCCGUUAAACGAUGUCCACUAGGCUGGGGGUCUUUUGACGGACUCCCCGGCCGAAGUUAAAGCGUUAAGUGGACCGCCUGGGGAGUACGGUCGCAAGGCUAAAACUCAAAGGAAUUGACGGGGGCUCACACAAGCGGUGGAGCAUGCUGCUCAAUUCGAUGCAACGCGAAGAACCUUAUCCUGGGCUUGAAAAGCACGGAUGCGGCGCCCGAAAGGGAUGUCCGCUGCCCUUCGGGGUGAAACGUGUACAGGUGCUGCAUGGCUGUCGUCAGCUCGUGUCGUGAGAUGUUGGGUUAAGUCCCGUAACGAGCGAAACCCUUGUCGCUAGUUGCCAGCGGGUCAUGCCGGGGACUCUAGCGAGACUGCCGGUGUCAAACCGGAGGAAGGUGGGGAUGACGUCAAGUCCUCAUGGCCUUUAUGCCCAGGGCUGCAAGCGUGCUACAAUGGCCGGGACAAACCGAUGCGAGACCGCGAGGUGGAGCAAAUCGGAAAAACCCGGCCCCAGUUCGGAUUGCAGUCUGCAACUCGACUGCAUGAAGUCGGAAUCGCUAGUAAUCGCGGAUCAGCGAUGCCGCGGUGAAUAUGUUCCUGAGCCUUGUACACACCGCCCGUCAAGUCAUGGGAGCUGGUAGCACCUGAAGUCGCUCCGAUACAGGGGUGCCGAAGGUGAGAUCGGUGACUGGGACUAAGUCGUAACAAGGUA